GAUGAACGCUGGCGGCGUGCCUAAUACAUGCAAGUCGAGCGAACGGACGAGAAGCUUGCUUCUCUGAUGUUAGCGGCGGACGGGUGAGUAACACGUGGAUAACCUACCUAUAAGACUGGGAUAACUUCGGGAAACCGGAGCUAAUACCGGAUAAUAUUUUGAACCGCAUGGUUCAAAAGUGAAAGACGGUCUUGCUGUCACUUAUAGAUGGAUCCGCGCUGCAUUAGCUAGUUGGUAAGGUAACGGCUUACCAAGGCAACGAUGCAUAGCCGACCUGAGAGGGGGACCGGCCACACUGGAACGGGAACCAGGCCCAGACCCCUGCGGGAGGCAAAAGGGGGGUAUCUUCGGCAAGGGGCGAAGGCCGGACGGAGAAACCCCGGGGGAGGGAGAAAGUUUUUCGGAUCUAAAAACCUUUUUAUGGGGAAAAAAAAGAUUGGAAAGAAAAUGGGCCCACUUGGAGGGUACCUAAUAAAAAAGCCAGGGCAAACUCCGUC
This 497-nucleotide ribosomal RNA is filed under the name uncultured bacterium. Its description in RNAcentral is "partial 16S ribosomal RNA". It matches the Rfam family "Bacterial small subunit ribosomal RNA", at positions 28 to 507 of the family's 1533-position model. The record is from RNAcentral.